This 540-nucleotide ribosomal RNA is filed under the name uncultured Geobacteraceae bacterium. Its description in RNAcentral is "bacterial SSU rRNA". It matches the Rfam family "Bacterial small subunit ribosomal RNA", at positions 9 to 526 of the family's 1533-position model. The record is from RNAcentral. Lineage: Bacteria; Pseudomonadati; Thermodesulfobacteriota; Desulfuromonadia; Geobacterales; Geobacteraceae.
GAGUUUGAUCCUGGCUCAGAACGAACGCUGGCGGCGUGCCUAACACAUGCAAGUCGAACGUGAUCCAGAGCUUGCUCUGGUGAAAGUGGCGCACGGGUGAGUAACGCGUGGAUAACCUACCCUGGUAUCCGGGAUAACAUUCCGAAAGGGGUGCUAAUACCGGAUAAGCCCACGGGCUCUUUGGAGCUUGCGGGAAAAGGUGGCCUCUAUUUAUAAGCUACUGUAUCAGGAUGGGUCCGCGUACCAUUAGCUAGUUGGCGGUGUAACGGACCACCAAGGCGACGAUGGUUAGCUGGUCUGAGAGGAUGAUCAGCCACACUGGAACUGAGACACGGUCCAGACUCCUACGGGAGGCGGCAGUGGGGAAUUUUGCGCAAUGGGGGAAACCCUGACGCAGCAACGCCGCGUGAGUGAUGAAGGCCUUUGGGUCGUAAAGCUCUGUCAGAGGGGAAGAAAUGAUAUAGUGCUAAUACCACUUUAUCUUGACGGUACCCUCAAAGGAAGCACCGGCUAACUCCGUGCCAGCAGCCGCGGUAAUAC